RNAcentral lists this ribosomal RNA (1554 nucleotides) under Staphylococcus aureus subsp. aureus MRSA252. It matches the Rfam family "Bacterial small subunit ribosomal RNA". Lineage: Bacteria; Bacillati; Bacillota; Bacilli; Caryophanales; Staphylococcaceae. The record is from RNAcentral.
UUGUAUGGAGAGUUUGAUCCUGGCCCAUGAUGAACGCUGGCGGCGUGUCCUAUACAUGCCAGUCGAGCGAACGGACGAAAGCUUGCUUCUCUGAUGUUAGCGGCGGACGGGUGAGUAACACGUGGAUAACCUACCUAUAAGACUGGGAUAACUUCGGGAAACCGGAGCUAAUACCGGAUAAUAUUUUGAACCGCAUGGUUCAAAAGUGAAAGACGGUCUUGCUGUCACUUAUAGAUGGAUCCGCGCUGCAUUAGCUAGUUGGUAAGGUAACGGCUUACCAAGGCAACGAUGCAUAGCCGACCUGAGAGGGUGAUCGGCCACACUGGAACUGAGACACGGUCCAGACUCCUACGGGAGGCAGCAGUAGGGAAUCUUCCGCAAUGGGCGAAAGCCUGACGGAGCAACGCCGCGUGAGUGAUGAAGGUCUUCGGAUCGUAAAACUCUGUUAUUAGGGAAGAACAUAUGUGUAAGUAACUGUGCACAUCUUGACGGUACCUAAUCAGAAAGCCACGGCUAACUACGUGCCAGCAGCCGCGGUAAUACGUAGGUGGCAAGCGUUAUCCGGAAUUAUUGGGCGUAAAGCGCGCGUAGGCGGUUUUUUAAGUCUGAUGUGAAAGCCCACGGCUCAACCGUGGAGGGUCAUUGGAAACUGGAAAACUUGAGUGCAGAAGAGGAAAGUGGAAUUCCAUGUGUAGCGGUGAAAUGCGCAGAGAUAUGGAGGAACACCAGUGGCGAAGGCGACUUUCUGGUCUGUAACUGACGCUGAUGUGCGAAAGCGUGGGGAUCAAACAGGAUUAGAUACCCUGGUAGUCCACGCCGUAAACGAUGAGUGCUAAGUGUUAGGGGGUUUCCGCCCCUUAGUGCUGCAGCUAACGCAUUAAGCACUCCGCCUGGGGAGUACGACCGCAAGGUUGAAACUCAAAGGAAUUGACGGGGACCCGCACAAGCGGUGGAGCAUGUGGUUUAAUUCGAAGCAACGCGAAGAACCUUACCAAAUCUUGACAUCCUUUGACAACUCUAGAGAUAGAGCCUUCCCCUUCGGGGGACAAAGUGACAGGUGGUGCAUGGUUGUCGUCAGCUCGUGUCGUGAGAUGUUGGGUUAAGUCCCGCAACGAGCGCAACCCUUAAGCUUAGUUGCCAUCAUUAAGUUGGGCACUCUAAGUUGACUGCCGGUGACAAACCGGAGGAAGGUGGGGAUGACGUCAAAUCAUCAUGCCCCUUAUGAUUUGGGCUACACACGUGCUACAAUGGACAAUACAAAGGGCAGCGAAACCGCGAGGUCAAGCAAAUCCCAUAAAGUUGUUCUCAGUUCGGAUUGUAGUCUGCAACUCGACUACAUGAAGCUGGAAUCGCUAGUAAUCGUAGAUCAGCAUGCUACGGUGAAUACGUUCCCGGGUCUUGUACACACCGCCCGUCACACCACGAGAGUUUGUAACACCCGAAGCCGGUGGAGUAACCUUUUAGGAGCUAGCCGUCGAAGGUGGGACAAAUGAUUGGGGUGAAGUCGUAACAAGGUAGCCGUAUCGGAAGGUGCGGCUGGAUCACCUCCUUUCU